This 250-nucleotide long non-coding RNA is filed under the name Setaria viridis. Its description in RNAcentral is "long non-coding RNA (SVIR_LNC009241)". The record is from RNAcentral. Lineage: Eukaryota; Viridiplantae; Streptophyta; Magnoliopsida; Poales; Poaceae.
UUGGAGAUAGGAUGGUAGGACCUUUGGUGGAACGUCAGUUGAAGCUAUUUUGGAAUUAGAUUUGAAAUUUGACCGAUCGUCUACUCGAUUUUGGAACAUCCUCUGCUCAAAAUUAGAAGAAGCACUGUGAGUGGAAGGUGUUCAACUUGAAAAGUUAUACCACUUUUAUAUUGGCCAAAAUUCAAGUUCUUCUUUAAAAAUUAUUUUUAUUUGCUUCACAAGUUAUUCUCAACAGGAGGGAGUUUUUAAC